GAUGAACGCUGGCGGCGUGCUUAACACAUGCAAGUCGAACGGAAAGGCCGAAGCUUGCUUCGGUACUCGAGUGGCGAACGGGUGAGUAACACGUGGGUGAUCUGCCCUGUACUUCGGGAUAAGCUUGGGAAACUGGGUCUAAUACCGGAUAUGACAAUCUCUUGGAUGGGGUUGUGGAAAGCUUUUGCGGUAUGGGAUGAGCUCGCGGCCUAUCAGCUUGUUGGUGGGGUAAUGGCCUACCAAGGCGUCGACGGGUAGCCGGCCUGAGAGGGUGUACGGCCACAUUGGGACUGAGAUACGGCCCAGACUCCUACGGGAGGCAGCAGUGGGGAAUAUUGCACAAUGGGCGCAAGCCUGAUGCAGCGACGCCGCGUGGGGGAUGACGGCCUUCGGGUUGUAAACUCCUUUCGCAACCGACGAAGCUUUUGUGACGGUAGGUUGAGAAGAAGCACCGGCUAACUACGUG
This 466-nucleotide ribosomal RNA is filed under the name uncultured bacterium. Its description in RNAcentral is "partial 16S ribosomal RNA". It matches the Rfam family "Bacterial small subunit ribosomal RNA", at positions 28 to 507 of the family's 1533-position model. The record is from RNAcentral.